Molecule: non-coding RNA, 243 nt
Organism: Vicia faba (fava bean)
Lineage: Eukaryota; Viridiplantae; Streptophyta; Magnoliopsida; Fabales; Fabaceae
Source: the annotation of a GenBank genome assembly
AUGUUCCGCCGCGCUACAUCCACUUUCCUCUCCCGCGCUGCCACUCGCCACUUCUCCACCGACGUGGCUACCCUCACCACCAAUUCCUCCUUCGUUGAAGCGUGGAGGAAAGUUAGCCCCAAUAUCGAUCCAUCACGACCACCUCCCGCCUCCGACUUGCCACCACCACGUCUGUUCUCCAACAACAUACAACUCUCAUUUCUUCCUGUUUGCAACUUGCAUCGCACCGCCCAGAUUCCAUAA